Molecule: non-coding RNA, 603 nt
Organism: Colius striatus (speckled mousebird)
Lineage: Eukaryota; Metazoa; Chordata; Aves; Coliiformes; Coliidae
Source: the annotation of a RefSeq genome assembly
AUGCGGCGGGGCCGGGGCACGGAGCUGGCUGGGCUGACCGCGCUGCUGCUGGUGGCUGCGGGCAGAGCCCAGGUGCAGCAGGAGCCGUGGGCAGAGACCACGGAGGACACCGCCAUCACUAUCAACUGCUCUCACCCCGACAUCAAGUUAACCGAGUUCAUCAACUGGUACCGUCAGUUCCCGGGCCGAGGUCCCGAGUGGCUCGUGAGCGGUCACAAAGGGUCCCAGGAGCUGCGGUCGCCGUUGGGGCGGCUGUCGGUGUCGGCAGACCGGCGGUCCAGCGGGCUGCGGCUCUCCCGGCCCCGGCGCGGGGACGCGGCCGUGUACUGGUGCGCCGUGGGAGACACGGGGAGAGGAGCCGGGGCUGCGGCCGCGCACGAACCGCCGCGGGCGGCACGGCGGGGCCGACAGGGGGCGCUGCCGCCCGCCGCUCCGGCAGCACCGGGAGAGCGACAGCGGCACCGACACAGAAACAGGGACACAGGGACACAGACAGACGGGCACAGGGACGUGGACACAGGGACAGAGUCAGGGACACGGGGACACAGACAUAGGGACACAGGGACAGUGAGACCGAUCUCGCAGGACACGGGUAGGAGAUAA